GGAGGAGGCUCUUGGGUUGUAAACCUCUUUUCUCAAGGAAGAACUUAAUGACGGUACUUGAGGAAUAAGCAUCGGCUAACUCCGUGCCAGCAGCCGCGGUAAUACGGAGGAUGCAAGCGUUAUCCGGAAUGAUUGGGCGUAAAGCGUCCGCAGGUGGCUAUGUGUGUCUGCUGUUAAAGAGUGAGGCUCAACCUCAUAAAAGCGGUGGAAACUACAUAGCUAGAGUGCGUUCGGGGCAGAGGGAAUUCCUGGUGUAGCGGUGAAAUGCGUAGAGAUCAGGAAGAACACCGGUGGCGAAAGCGCUCUGCUAGGCCGCAACUGACACUGAGGGACGAAAGCUAGGGGAGCGAAUGGGA
Molecule: ribosomal RNA, 356 nt
Filed under: Nostoc sp. K51
Lineage: Bacteria; Bacillati; Cyanobacteriota; Cyanophyceae; Nostocales; Nostocaceae
Description: bacterial SSU rRNA
Rfam family: Bacterial small subunit ribosomal RNA
Source: RNAcentral